UACGUAGGGUGCGAGCGUUGUCCGGAAUUACUGGGCGUAAAGAGCUCGUAGGCGGUUUGUCGCGUCGGCCGUGAAAUCUCCACGCUUAACGUGGAGCGUGCGGUCGAUACGGGCAGACUUGAGUUCGGUAGGGGAGACUGGAAUUCCUGGUGUAGCGGUGAAAUGCGCAGAUAUCAGGAGGAACACCGGUGGCGAAGGCGGGUCUCUGGGCCGAUACUGACGCUGAGGAGCGAAAGCGUGGGGAGCGAACAGG
This 253-nucleotide ribosomal RNA is filed under the name uncultured bacterium. RNAcentral's name for it is "partial 16S ribosomal RNA". It matches the Rfam family "Bacterial small subunit ribosomal RNA", at positions 524 to 776 of the family's 1533-position model. The record is from RNAcentral.